UGUGGGGACCAUUCCACGGUCUCCGUGACGCAGCUAACGCAUUAAGUUCCCCGCCUGGGGAGUACGGCCGCAAGGCUAAAACUCAAAGGAAUUGACGGGGACCCGCACAAGCGGCGGAGCAUGCGGAUUAAUUCGAUGCAACGCGAAGAACCUUACCAAGGCUUGACAUAUACGAGAACGGGCUAGAAAUAGUCAACUCUUUGGACACUCGUAAACAGGUGGUGCAUGGUUGUCGUCAGCUCGUGUCGUGAGAUGUUGGGUUGAGUCCCGCAACGAGCGCAACCCUCGUUCUAUGUUGCCAGCACGUAAUGGUGGGAACUCAUGGGAUACUGCCGGGGUCAACUCGGAGGAAGGUGGGGAUGACGUCAAAUCAUCAUGCCCCUUAUGUCUUGGGCUUCACGCAUGCUACAAUGGCCGGUACAAAGGGCUGCAAUACCGUAAGGUGGAGCGAAUCCCAAAAAGCCGGUCCCAGUUCGGAUUGAGGUCUGCAACUCGACCUCAUGAAGUCGGAGUCGCUAGUAAUCGCAGAUCAGCAACGCUGCGGUGAAUACGUUCCCGGGCCUUGUACACACCGCC
RNAcentral lists this ribosomal RNA (576 nucleotides) under uncultured bacterium. RNAcentral describes it as "bacterial SSU rRNA". It matches the Rfam family "Bacterial small subunit ribosomal RNA", at positions 821 to 1394 of the family's 1533-position model. The record is from RNAcentral.